CGCCUUGCCAGCCCGCUCAGAACUUAAAUAGAAUUGACGGGGGCCCGGCACAAGCGGUGGAGUAUGUGGUUUAAUUCGAUGCAACGCGAAGAACCUUACCUGGUCUUGACAUCCCGGAGACCCUUAGGAACUAGGGGUGCUUCCAUCUGGAAGAAUCUGGAGACAGGUGCUGCAUGGCUGUCGUCAGCUCGUGUCGUGAGAUGUUGGGUUAAGUCCCGCAACGAGCGCAACCCUUGCCUUUAGUUGCCAGCAGUUCGGCUGGGCACUCUAAAGGGACUGCCGGUGUUAAACCGGAGGAAGGUGGGGAUGACGUCAAGUCCUCAUGGCCUUUAUGACCAGGGCUACACACGUACUACAAUGGCCGAUACAAAGGGCAGCGACACUGCGAGGUGAAGCCAAUCCCGUAAAAUCGGUCUCAGUCCGGAUUGGAGUCUGCAACUCGACUCCAUGAAGUUGGAAUCGCUAGUAAUCGUGGAUCAGCAUGCCACGGUGAAUACGUUCCCGGGCCUU
RNAcentral lists this ribosomal RNA (510 nucleotides) under uncultured Desulfobulbus sp. Its description in RNAcentral is "bacterial SSU rRNA". It matches the Rfam family "Bacterial small subunit ribosomal RNA", at positions 903 to 1382 of the family's 1533-position model. The record is from RNAcentral. Lineage: Bacteria; Pseudomonadati; Thermodesulfobacteriota; Desulfobulbia; Desulfobulbales; Desulfobulbaceae.